GAUGAACGCUGGCGGCGUGCCUAAUACAUGCAAGUCGAGCGAACAGACGAGGAGCUUGCUUCUCUGACGUUAGCGGCGGACGGGUGAGUAACACGUGGAUAACCUACCUAUAAGACUGGGAUAACUUCGGGAAACCGGAGCUAAUACCGGAUGAUAUUUUGAACCGCAUGGUUCAAUAGUGAAAGACGGUCUUGCUGUCACUUAUAGAUGGAUCCGCGCUGCAUUAGCUAGUUGGUAAGGUAACGGCUUACCAAGGCAACGAUGCGUAGCCGACCUGAGAGGGUGAUCGGCCACACUGGAACUGAGACACGGUCCAGACUCCUACGGGAGGCAGCAGUAGGGAAUCUUCCGCAAUGGGCGAAAGCCUGACGGAGCAACGCCGCGUGAGUGAUGAAGGUCUUCGGAUCGUAAAACUCUGUUAUUAGGGAAGAACAUAUGUGUAAGUAACUGUGCACAUCUUGACGGUACCUAAUCAGAAAGCCACGGCUAACUACGUG
This 497-nucleotide ribosomal RNA is filed under the name uncultured bacterium. RNAcentral's name for it is "partial 16S ribosomal RNA". It matches the Rfam family "Bacterial small subunit ribosomal RNA", at positions 28 to 507 of the family's 1533-position model. The record is from RNAcentral.